Long non-coding RNA from Cloeon dipterum, 850 nucleotides. RefSeq lists it as uncharacterized. The record is from RefSeq and is a predicted model, not a curated record. The transcript is spliced from 4 exons. NCBI's taxonomy places the organism in Eukaryota, Metazoa, Arthropoda, Insecta, Ephemeroptera, Baetidae.
GAGAAUAUUCAACGCUGUCCUCGGGAAGCCAAUUAAUUUAAAAUUUGGAUUGAGUUUGAUAUCUCGAUUGAUUGUCGCUUCUGUAUUUGCACCCUUCUUCGCUAUCCUCGUUUUGAAACCUUUGUUUCUGAGCAAGUCUGCUGAUAUUAUUUGGAGUUUGCUUAUGAGCAUUUGCUUCGCGGCACACAAUCUGACCCUAAUGUGGACGUUCUGCAUUUUCAAAACCACCCGUUCGCUCACUGACAUUAUCCUUCGAGAGUAUAAGAUAUAUUACAAAGAUGGGGGCGCUACCGAGAAAAAUACAGUUGUGUUCAAAGAAUUAUGGUUCAAACUAAGAAACGUUGUCCUAGCCACAGGCAGGGUGAGCUCCAUGGCAACAAUGCAAUUAUUGCUGACGUCCACUGUCGUUAUUGUCCUCUGCAUUUAUGAGUUUUCAGCAGGCCGGCUCCAGAAAGAUGCAUUAUUGUUUAAUACCUUUGUGUUUUUCUUUGGUCUCCUUUUAAUAUUUGCAGUAUGUGAGGGCGCUCAUCAUGCUACUCAAAAUGUAAAAUGUGCACUUAAGUCAUAAUUGAAGUAAUUUCAUUUCUCUCUUCAAGUUUGAUUAUGCUGUAAGCAGAGCCAUUGAAAUGACGCAAAAUGAUUUGGACGUGAACAGAUUUUUCGUCUCUUUGAAAAAAAUGUCACCAAUAGUAUCACUGAACGGCUAUUUACGUAUUGACCGCUACUUUUACUCUCAGAUUUUCCUUGGACUGGUUGAAAUUUGGUUGGUUCUGCUUCAGUUUCGGAUAAAGGCCAAGCCAAUUCAGCUCGAAGACUUCUUCUAAAAUUUUACCCGAAAUUUUUAUAUUCG